UCUGGAAUAGCUCGGUUGGUAGAGCAUGAGAUUCUUAACCUAAGGGUCAUGGGUUCAAGCCCCACACUGGGCAAAA
Molecule: non-coding RNA, 76 nt
Organism: Podarcis lilfordi (Lilford's wall lizard)
Lineage: Eukaryota; Metazoa; Chordata; Lepidosauria; Squamata; Lacertidae
Source: the annotation of a GenBank genome assembly